This 253-nucleotide ribosomal RNA is filed under the name uncultured bacterium. RNAcentral describes it as "partial 16S ribosomal RNA". It matches the Rfam family "Bacterial small subunit ribosomal RNA", at positions 524 to 776 of the family's 1533-position model. The record is from RNAcentral.
UACAGAGGUCUCGAGCGUUGUUCGGAUUCACUGGGUUUAAAGGGUGCGUAGGUGGGCAGGUAAGUCAGUGGUGAAAUCCCCGAGCUUAACUUGGGAACUGCCGUUGAUACUAUCUGUCUUGAAUAUCGUGGAGGUUAGCGGAAUAUGUCAUGUAGCGGUGAAAUGCAUAGAGAUGACAUAGAACACCAAUUGCGAAGGCAGCUGGCUACACGGUAAUUGACACUGAGGCACGAAAGCGUGGGGAGCAAACAGG